UGACUCACCCAACGUCAAACAACAGACGAGCGGCAGAGACUAUUGAAUCCCAAUGCCACCUUUAAAGGCACAACAUACUCGAGUUGAAUGAAACUUCGAAGAUGGUUGAAAGGAAGGUUGUGUCUAUACUGGAACUAGUGUGAACACACCUCGAUGAGGUAACUGAGGUGCAACCAAGUGAAGCGAC
Ornithorhynchus anatinus (platypus) is the source of this 187-nucleotide long non-coding RNA. RefSeq lists it as uncharacterized. The record is from RefSeq and is a predicted model, not a curated record. The transcript has 3 exons. NCBI's taxonomy places the organism in Eukaryota, Metazoa, Chordata, Mammalia, Monotremata, Ornithorhynchidae.